AUGGGGCUGCUAACGCGUGAGUGUGUGAAUGAACUAAGGACAGCCCACGACCGCGUUGCUGGAGGGUUGGAUAAUCUUGAACGGUUUCUGCAAACAAUUAACAAGCUCGUGGAACAAUCUCGAAUGGCUUCAGAGUUGAUCACCGCGGCCGAAAACACAGUUAGGGAACACACCAGUCAGAAAGAGCAGCUUCAACAGAAGAUGCAAGACGAAGCUGUCCUGAAGGAGCAGCUGCAGAAGAAGAUCGAGGAGGGAGCUGCCUUGAAGGAGCAGCUGCAGACUCAGAUGCAAGAGAAUGCGUCUUUGAAGGAGAAGAUACAGAAGAAGGACCAAGAAAAUGCCAUCUUGAAGGAUCAAGUAAAAUCUUUGAAGGAGCAGAUGCAGAAGAAGGACCAAGGAAAUGCCAUCUUGAAGGAAAGUUAA
RNAcentral lists this ribosomal RNA (423 nucleotides) under Triticum aestivum (bread wheat). RNAcentral describes it as "partial small subunit ribosomal RNA". Lineage: Eukaryota; Viridiplantae; Streptophyta; Magnoliopsida; Poales; Poaceae. The record is from RNAcentral.